This 770-nucleotide ribosomal RNA is filed under the name uncultured bacterium. RNAcentral's name for it is "bacterial SSU rRNA". It matches the Rfam family "Bacterial small subunit ribosomal RNA", at positions 9 to 795 of the family's 1533-position model. The record is from RNAcentral.
GAGUUUGAUCCUGGCUCAGGGUGAACGCUGGCGGCGCGCUUAAUGCAUGCAAGUCGAGCGUGAUCGUGGCUUCGGCCACAAUGAUAAAGCGGCAGACGGCUGAGUAACGCGUGAGUAAUCUGCCCUCCGGUGGGGUAUAACCUCGGGAAACUGAGGAUAAUCCCGCAUACGACCUGCAUCCCGUGGGAUGCAGAUGAAAGGCUUCGGUCGCCGGAGGAGGAGCUCGCGUCCUAUCAGGUUGUUGGUGGGGUAAUGGCCCACCAAGCCGAUGACGGGUAGCUGGUCUGAGAGGAUGACCAGCCAGAGGGGGACUGAGAACGGCCCCCACUCCUACGGGAGGCAGCAGCAGGGAAUCUUGGGCAAUGGGCGAAAGCCUGACCCAGCGACGUCGCGUGGGGGACGAAGGCCUUAGGGUUGUAAACCCCUUUUCCGAGGGAAGAUACAGGACGGUACCUCGGGAAUAAGCCCCGGCUAACUACGUGCCAGCAGCCGCGGUAAUACGUAGGGGGCAAGCGUUACCCGGAAUCACUGGGCGUAAAGUGCGCGUAGGCGGUUGGAUAAGUCUCUUGUGAAAGCUCCCGGCUCAACUGGGAGAGGUCAAGGGAUACUAUUCGACUUGAGGACAGCAGAGGUAAGCAGAAUUCCCGGUGUAGCGGUGGAAUGCGUAGAUAUCGGGAGGAACACCAGUGGCGAAAGCGGCUUACUGGGCUGUAUCUGACGCUGAGGCGCGAGAGCGUGGGGAGCAAACUGGAUUAGAUACCCUGGUAGUC